UACGUAGGUGGCAAGCGUUACUCGGAAUCACUAGGCGUAAAGCGCAGGUAGGCGGUUCGGUAAGUCUUUUGUGAAAGCUCCCGGCUUAACUGGGAGAGGUCAAAGGAAACUACCGGGCUAGAGUGUGGUAGGGGAAACUGGAAUUCCUGGUGUAGCGGUGAAAUGCGUAGAUAUCAGGAGGAACACCUAUGGCGAAAGCAGGUUUCUGGGCCAUCACUGACGCUGAGCUGCGAAAGCUAGGGGAGCAAACAGG
RNAcentral lists this ribosomal RNA (253 nucleotides) under uncultured bacterium. RNAcentral describes it as "partial 16S ribosomal RNA". It matches the Rfam family "Bacterial small subunit ribosomal RNA", at positions 524 to 776 of the family's 1533-position model. The record is from RNAcentral.